CCUACGGGUGGCAGCAGUGAGGAAUAUUGGUCAAUGGCCGCGAGCCUGAACCAGCCAAGUCGCGUGAAGGAUGACGGCCCUACGGGUUGUAAACUUCUUUUGUCAGGGAAUAAAGUGAAGCACGUGUGCCUCUUUUUGUGUACCUUAUGAAAAAGCAUCGGCUAACUCCGUGCCAGCAGCCGCGGUAAUAAGGCGGAUCCGAGCGUUAUCCGGAUUUAUUUGGUUUAAAGGGUGCGGUGGUGGGUGGUUAAGUUAGGUGGGAAAGUUUGCGGCGUAACCCUAGAAGUGCAGUUGAUACUGGAAGCCUUGAGUGCAGUAGAGGUAGGCGGAAUGCGUGGUGUAGCGGUGAAAUGCGUAGAUAUCACGAAGAACUCCGAUUGCGAAGGCAGCUUAC
This 394-nucleotide ribosomal RNA is filed under the name uncultured bacterium. Its description in RNAcentral is "partial 16S ribosomal RNA". It matches the Rfam family "Bacterial small subunit ribosomal RNA", at positions 338 to 729 of the family's 1533-position model. The record is from RNAcentral.